Molecule: ribosomal RNA, 481 nt
Filed under: uncultured bacterium
Lineage: Bacteria
Description: partial 16S ribosomal RNA
Rfam family: Bacterial small subunit ribosomal RNA
Source: RNAcentral
GACGAACGUUGGCGGCGUGCUUAAUACAUGCAAGUCAACUGAAGCAGUGGUAGCAAUAUCGCUGUGGAGGUGGCGCACGGGUGAGUAACACGUAGGUAAUCUGCCUUCAGGUCUGGCAUAACUCCGGGAAACCGGGGCUAAUAGCAGAUGAUGCAGCGGCUCGACAUCGAGACAGUUGUUAAAGCUAUGGCGCCUGAAGAUGAGCCUGCGUCUGAUUAGCUAGUUGGCGGGGUAACGGCCCACCAAGGCAACGAUCAGUAGCUGGUCUGAGAGGAUGAUCAGGAACACUGGAACUGAGACACGGUCCAGACUCCGACGGGGGGGAGCAGUAAGGAAUAUUGCUCAAUGGGAGAAAUACUGAAGCAGCAACGCCGCGUGAGGGACGAAGGGCGUUUGCUUGUAAACCUCUGUAGUAAGAGAAAAAAAUCCCAAUCUUUGGGACAUGAUGGUAUCUCAAAAGUAAGCCCCGGCUAACUACGUG